ACCUACUGUUUAAUUUUGAGGGUUCGUUUUUACGAAUACUCAAAAUUAGCACUUUUAGCAACAGAAUAAACUGAACGCAUGUGAAGUUUGUUUGUUGGCGACGUGCUUUAGCACUUUGAAAACUGCAUAUAUAUUUAGUGAUAUGACAUCUAAUUUGUAAUAUAUAAAGCUGAUAACUUUUUAAAAUUAUCGAAGUUGAUAGCUUCUAAUCUAUCAAACCUUUUUAACUGGUCAA
This 235-nucleotide unclassified non-coding RNA is filed under the name Clostridioides difficile. Its description in RNAcentral is "16S-23S ribosomal RNA intergenic spacer (ISR)". The record is from RNAcentral. Lineage: Bacteria; Bacillati; Bacillota; Clostridia; Peptostreptococcales; Peptostreptococcaceae.